UUUCUCAAUGGGGGGAACCCUGAAGGAGCGACGCCGCGUGGAGGAUGAAGGUCUUCGGAUUGUAAACUCCUGUCAUUUGGGAACAAGGUGCGCGCGUUAACUGCGCGCGCAUUGAUAGUACCAGAAGAGGAAGAGACGGCUAACUCUGUGCCAGCAGCCGCGGUAAUACAGAGGUCUCAAGCGUUGUUCGGAUUCAUUGGGCGUAAAGGGUGCGUAGGCGGCGCGGUAAGUCGGGUGUGAAAUUUCGAGGCUUAACUUCGAAACUGCAUUCGAUACUGCCGUGCUUGAGGACUGGAGAGGAGACUGGAAUUUACGGUGUAGCGGUGAAAUGCGUAGAUAUCGUAAGGAAGACCAGUGGCGAAGGCGGGUCUCUGGACAGUUCCUGACGCUGAGGCACGAAGGCCAGGGGAGCAAACGGGAUUAGAUACCCCGGUAGUCCUGGCAAUAAACGGUGCACGUUUUGGUGUGGGAGGAUUCGACCCCUUCUGCGCCGGAGCUAACGCGUUAAACGUGCCGCCUGGGGAGUACGGUCGCAAGAUUAAAACUCAAAGAAAUUGACGGGGGCCCGCACAAGCGGUGGAGUAUGUGGCUUAAUUCGAUGCAACGCGAAGAACCUUACCUGGCCUUGACAUGCAUCUCUAAGCUGGUGAAAGCCAGUGAGUCCCGAAAGGGACAAUUUGCACAGGUGCUGCAUGGCUGUCGUCAGCUCGUGUCGUGAGAUGUUGGGUUAAGUCCCGCAACGAGCGCAACCCCUGUGAACUGUUGCCACCCAGCCGUGAGGCUGGAGCACUCUGUUCAGACUGCCCUGUGAAACGGGGAGGAAGGUGGGGACGACGUCAAGUCAGUAUGGCCCUUACGGCCAGGGCUGCACACGUACUACAAUGCCCAGUACAGAACGAUCCAAGACCGCGAGGUGGAGGAAAUCACAAAAACUGGGCCCAGUUCGGAUUGAAGUCUGCAACUCGACUUCAUGAAGCCGGAAUCGCU
RNAcentral lists this ribosomal RNA (987 nucleotides) under uncultured Verrucomicrobiota bacterium. RNAcentral's name for it is "bacterial SSU rRNA". It matches the Rfam family "Bacterial small subunit ribosomal RNA", at positions 364 to 1336 of the family's 1533-position model. The record is from RNAcentral. Lineage: Bacteria; Pseudomonadati; Verrucomicrobiota.